RNAcentral lists this ribosomal RNA (406 nucleotides) under uncultured bacterium. Its description in RNAcentral is "partial 16S ribosomal RNA". It matches the Rfam family "Bacterial small subunit ribosomal RNA", at positions 30 to 526 of the family's 1533-position model. The record is from RNAcentral.
AUUGAACGCUGGCGGCAGGCCUAACACAUGCAAGUCGAACGAGUGGCAGACGUGUGAGUAAUGUCUGGAAAACUGCCUGAUGGGGGGGUAUAACUACUGGAAACGGUAGCUAAUACCGCAUCCCAUCGGAUGUGCCCAGAUGGGAUUAGCUAGUAGGUGGGGUAAAGGCUCACCGAGGCGACGAUCCCUAGCUGGUCUGAGAGGAUGACCAGCCAAAAUGGAACUGAGACACGGUCCAGACUCCUACGGGAGGCAGCAGUGGGGAAUAUUGCACAAUGGGCGCAAGCCUGAUGCAGCCAUGCCGCGUGUAUGAAGAAGGCCUUCGGGUUGUAAAGUACUUUAAGUUGGGAGGCGUUACCAACAGAAUAAGCACCGGCUAACUCCGUGCCAGCAGCCGCGGUAAUUC